UACGUAGGGUGCAAGCGUUGUCCGGAAUUAUUGGGCGUAAAGAGCUCGUAGGCGGUUGGUCGCGUCGGCUGUGAAAACCCGGAGCUCAACUCCGGGCCUGCAGUCGAUACGGGCCGACUUGAGUGUUGCAGGGGAGACUGGAAUUCCUGGUGUAGCGGUGAAAUGCGCAGAUAUCAGGAGGAACACCGGUGGCGAAGGCGGGUCUCUGGGCCGAUACUGACGCUGAGGAGCGAAAGCGUGGGGAGCGAACAGG
RNAcentral lists this ribosomal RNA (253 nucleotides) under uncultured bacterium. RNAcentral's name for it is "partial 16S ribosomal RNA". It matches the Rfam family "Bacterial small subunit ribosomal RNA", at positions 524 to 776 of the family's 1533-position model. The record is from RNAcentral.